AGGAAGGUCCUGCAACUUUUCUGGAAGGAUCUUCACCAACAAAAUUAGAUUAUGCUGUUUAUUAUGCAAUACCAUCAUCAAUUACAUCCAGUAUGUACCCUAAUAUUUAUUGUUGGCAACGUGACAUGCAUCUUGUUAUGAAACGUGAUUUACAUAGGACAAACAAUGCAAGGUUACCCAGAAGAAAAUUAAUAAUGUCCCCCUAGAUAUGUUGAAUAUCUAGCCAUUGAACAGUGUAAAAAAAUAAAACUGUAUAAAUUUUUUUAUAUUACGCACAAUAAUUCCUAUAAGUAAACAUUAGUAUACUUGAAAAACUUAUUUAAGCGUACUAAAAAAAAUGAUAUAUUUUCAAAUAUUUUAUGUAUGAUUAAAAUAGUCUACAAGAACUUCAUACAUUGUUUUAUGAAUUACCACUUACAUUUGAGUAUAUAUAUAUAUAUAUAUAAUAACACACAUAUUAUAUAUAUAUAUGUGCAACACGACUGAAGCUAUUAUAUUUAUUUCACGUUUUAUUUUCAACAAAUUAAUAUUAUUAUAUUACAUACUUCUCAAAUUUAAU
Non-coding RNA from Nomia melanderi (Alkali bee), 559 nucleotides. Lineage: Eukaryota; Metazoa; Arthropoda; Insecta; Hymenoptera; Halictidae. The record is from RefSeq and is a predicted model, not a curated record.